UAUUGGUCAAUGGACGCGAGUCUGAACCAGCCCAGUAGCGUGAAGGAUGACUGCCCUAUGGGUUGUAAACUUCCUUUAUAUGGGAAUAAAGUUUUCCACGUGUGGAAUUUUGUAUGUACCAUAUGAAUAAGGAACGGCGAACUCCGUGCCAGCAGCCGCGGUAAUACGGAGGAUUCGAGCGUUAUCCGGAUUUAUUGGGUUUAAAGGGAGCGUAGGUGGACAGUUAAGUCAGUUGUGGAAGUUUGCGGCUCAACCGUAAAAUUGCAGUUGAAACUGGCAGUCUUGAGUACAGUAGAGGUGGACGGAAUUCGUGGUGUAGCGGUGAAAUGCUUAGAUAUCACGAAGAACUCCGAUUGCGAAGGCAGCUCACUAGACUGCAACUGACACUGAUGCUCGAAAGUGUGGGUAUCAAACAG
RNAcentral lists this ribosomal RNA (416 nucleotides) under uncultured bacterium. Its description in RNAcentral is "bacterial SSU rRNA". It matches the Rfam family "Bacterial small subunit ribosomal RNA", at positions 362 to 775 of the family's 1533-position model. The record is from RNAcentral.